Molecule: transfer-messenger RNA, 347 nt
Filed under: Clostridia
Lineage: Bacteria; Bacillati; Bacillota
Also listed under: 1 other name
Description: RGIG8497 sp017626145 Standard tmRNA
Rfam family: transfer-messenger RNA
About the family: Bacterial tmRNA, also known as 10Sa RNA or SsrA, is named for its dual tRNA and mRNA-like properties. Its role is to liberate the mRNA from a stalled ribosome.
Source: RNAcentral
GGGGGCGUAAAGGUUUCGACGGGGAUAAGGAAGCUGAUGAAGCAGGUGGAUGUAUGGAGCAUCCUUAAAAUCCAUAAUUUAAAUUUAAACGCUAACGAUAAUUUAGCUUACGCUGCCUAAUUAAGGCAGCCGUCCAACCCGCAUUACUGCGGUGCGGAGGCGGGCGUCAACUACGCAGUGAACGUGAAUUUGUAAAGCUUUGAACAAGUCAUGAAUAAUGAAGCUACUAAGUCUUUAGGUUUGUUUGCGGAACUAAAGACGAGGGAAUUUUCAGCCACAAACUAAACUUGUAGAAACAUCAGUGGAAAGAUUUUCGGACGGGAGUUCAAUUCUCCCCGCCUCCACCA